AUUUCAUUUAUGAGGAUCCGGGUUAGAAUAGGUUCCAAAUUAUCAUCAACAAAUACAUGGUACGCUGUGUAAAAAAGAAAAGUUCACAAUUUGCUGCUCCAGUGACCACAGAUAUCGUAGUUGUGUUCGCUGCUACAAUGUUACUGAUAUUGACACAAGCUUCAAAGAUCAGCUGCAAAUAAUAUGUUUUAUUUCACCUACCGUCAUGAAUUUGUCAUUUUUUCCUCAUCCUCUCUCCUUUUUCAAAAUUAUUGGGGCGGCAUCUAUUAGUUCCUUAUUGAGAUUGCAUCUACUUAGACCGGCGUAAGUAGUGUAUGUGUACAUGUGCAUACAUCCAAUUUAUGUACAUGUAAAUGAUUUCAUGACCUGUAGAGAUUCAUAUAAAACUUUGUCUCAGGAUAUAAGAUAUAUCACACAUUACACGUAUACAUUAAUCAUAUAAGCAAAAUCAUCAAAAUUCAGUUUGUUACUUUCGCUUUACAUUUACAUUGUUCAAAGCCUCUCUAGAAUUUUUUUUUCAGAUAAAAUGUAAAAUUUAAGUGUAAACCACAUGUAUCUUAUAAUAGUUAUAGUUUAGCAUAGUUCAAAUUAUUAUUCAAGGUUGUAAAUAUGCUCAAACUUUACAUGUCUUACGAAAUUAUGAUAAUGUAUAAUUUUUCAAGAUUUUAAGGGGGGGGGGGGUGUACUUCUGAUAGCUUCUAAAAUAAUAUGUCAACAUAUGAUUUUCUUGCUCAAAUCCUUAUUCUAAGAUAAUAAUCUGUAAAUCAAAAACAAUUUAUUCAAGGUUUAGUCCAUCAAAAUUAGGGAAAAGACCAAUAUUGACGUCAAAUGGUAUCUCCUACAGUAUUUCCUUUCACAUGUUUGGGCUCAUAAAGGAUACAUUGUGAAAAUAUUUAUUCUAAUUUAUUAGAAUAAAUGACUACAUACCAUUAAAUAAAGGGUAUAUAGUCUAUGUUGCUUAUUACAGCCCAUUUGUUUGGGAAAAUAAUAAUUAAAAAGAAAAAUAAAGAAGGAGGAGUGCAUUUUCCUUAAUGUUGAUGGGGUGCUUACUUUUGAGAAGCAAUAACAACGAAAAUAGCAUGUCAACAUAUAUAUUUUUCAAUGUCUAUCUAUUACUGGAAAGUAUAUUUAUCUUGUAAAGGCAAUUUUUUCAUGAUUGAGUCCAUUUAAGGCCGAGUAUAGAUCUACAUUCAAGAAAUGCAGCAUAAUUAUGAUUUGAUGGGAAUUAAAACAGCACAAUAUAAUGCAAUUGUAAUAAAUAAAAUAAAUUUUCUAAAAGUGUUUAACAUUACAAUUUUGAUUUGUCAAUAACAAAUACAAGUGCCACUCCCACACUUCUACGCAUGAUAUGUCACACAUAACAACAGUAAACAGCUGUAACAGGAAGGGAGAAAAUUCAACGGACCAGAACGUGAUUCGACCCCCCCCUCCCCCCCCCAGAAUCUCUAUCAACUGAGCUAUCUGGUCACCGGCGAUCGAACUCAGCUGACCGCUACACAGCAUUGAUGUCAAUAUUCGCUCAGAGCACAUGGGGAUAUUCUUUAAAACAGUAAAGUAUCACUUUCACCUAAUGAGAAAGUACAGUGGAAUUCAAAUCAAAACCAAAUCUGGCCAAUGAUCCCCCCUGUUACAAAAACAAAAAUGAAAGUUUAGUCUAAACGAAAACACAAAAGAAAAAUGCAGCUACAUGUACAAGUAUGUUAAAAAAAGUCACGGGUUCUAUUUCGCUCUUGGAAAUAUCUGUACAUAUAAGUGAGUAGAUAUCAAAAAUUAUUUUACAGAAAUGUAUUAUUUCUGAAGAUUAAAAAUAUCAUAUAUAAACGAUAUUUAAAUAUGUAUUUCAAGACAUUGGUCAAAGUUGGGUUUUUAAUACCUUUGGUUAAAAUCAAGUCAUUAAUAACACCCGGUACUCCACUAAUAUGGAAAUGAAUGAAAUAGUGAUUGAUUGGUUUUCUCGGUAAUAUAGAUAUAAUCAUAAUAAUACAUGCACAUAUACAUGUCAUAAAUGGAUGAUAAAGAGUUUAUUAUUUAACAGUAGAUUGCUUCACUCCAGCCAAUACUUGACAUACGAGACGACAUAUGAUAUAUUUGAUUUGAACACAUUGUAUGAAACUUAUCUAGACACAGUUCAAAACCUUUCUACAAACGUUUUACACAGUUACUUGUUCUCAAAGUUUUGGUUUCUCUAUAAAAUUACCGACUGCUAACACGAAAAUACACUGAAUGUAUAUAGUAAAGCAUAUGUUUGAUUACAAAGAAACCAGAUCUGAAAUAGGAAUUUGAGAUGUUGAUUUAAUUGCAUAUUAUACAUGAUUUAUUUAAACACAAUCCCAGUGGGGGUUUCCAAUGAAUUCAAGAUGGCUAAAAAUGUUUUUGUCAUGAAUGGAAACUCUUUGUCUAUUUUAAAAUCAAAUUCAUCAAAAUGCACUGAUAUUCUCGUCAAACGAGUCCCAUUCUAACAUCAUCCGCUUUGGUUUUAUGUCUGCUACUAGUAUGCAUGGGUGUGUACAUAUGAUAUAUACUACGAGGAUAAGAUAGGUUUUAUAUUGGUUAUAUAUGUAAAAUUCCAAUCGAUUUUGUUAUAAUCAAACACGACUUUAAUGGAAAAACACCAGAAUUGCCUAGCUACAGGGCGCCGCCAUUGUGGACACCCAAAGUUGUGCGGAGAAGAAAAGUUGACAGGAGAUCUGAUUGGUCAUUAACAGAAAAUCUUUGUGAUGGAAUUUAAUAGUGAAAUAUAAGUGAUAAAAAUGACAGGUGACAUAACAGAAUAUGUAGAAAGAUACAGAAGUUAUAAGGGAAGAUCUGAGUGGAGAGGUGAUAUUUGGAUGGACAAUUUCAUUCAGUGCGGAUCUACACUAGUUGUAAACAGGCCAAAAUUUGAAGGAAAAACGCAACGGCAAGCCAUAUAUUUUUUGGUGGAAUUUUGAAGGGGAGAUGAUGAACUUUGCUGAAUGGUGACUGAUUUUUUGAAAAUUGGCUUAAUAAAUAAUUGACAGUGAUUGGAAUUUGUAUGGAAGUCUAUGGGAAAACAUUUGGUGGUGUUUGUCCUAUACUGAGGUAGCGAGAACCAGUUUAUGAGGUAAGUGUAAGAAAGUAGUGCAUUUUUAGCGCCAUUUGUCAGUUUUACAAUAAAAUGGAUGCAUUUUUUGAUAAUUUGAAAGAAAAAGUAAAUCGUAAAAGUGUACGGGGCCCCCAAGGGGGCACCUGCAUCAUUUGGAUGGGUAGGAUUUCCCCCUCUGGCUAUGGGCUACAAACUGUCUACUGGCCAGAGGAGGGAAGAAAGGUGGAAAAGGCCCACAGAGUUGCCCUUAUGGCAGAGUGGAAACUGACUCGGAGUCUUCCAUGCCUUCCUUGGCCCAGGUGAAUUCAUCACCGAUGUUUUUGGCCAUAGGUAUAUUCGCCCCACAUGUCUGCUCAGUGCACACAUGACUGGGAUUGUUCUUGAGAUGUUGUCCUUUGGGGCAUAUUUUGUUUUUAGUUACUAAAGAUAUUAUUUUGUGACUACUGGUCACAUUCUCUGCAAUUGAGAAGACGGUUUGUGUAGCUAGCUGGAAGGGGGUUUCCCCUACCCCAGAAUAUAGGGCGUUAUUAUACAUCCCAUCGCACUGAAUUCCUAUGGUUUUUGGACUUUUGGCCUCCCCUCAAUUUAUUAAUAUCAACUAAUUUCUUACAUCUUUUUUUCAUAUCAGACUUGUUUAAGGUGAUUACUUUUUGCAUAAUGGUGUUGCUUGUUUUUUGUAGAGAAGACUCGGCUGGAGGUGGGGUGUUGGUUGACAUGAGGAUUUUACGAAGAGAAGAACUGCCAAUGGGGGUUUGACUGAGACCUAUUUGUAGGCCAUAGUUUAUUGCUGCUGCUUUCCUUCCCCUGGAACCGGAUUCUACUUCGACAUAGAGGCUAUACAUUUUGGACACGUAGGUGCAGGUGUUACAUUUAAGCCGUAACCUAGUGCCCAGGCCACGCCUCUCUUCAGAGUCCAAGUCCCAGGUUAGGUCACCAUCACAGCCUGGAUUGGCCCGCCCACGUUCUUUGAACUCUGCGUUGAACAUGCCACAUGUCUUUUCCAGAUGCAGCAGUCUGUAGGAGUCAUUUUCACACCUGCCGAAAUCAGUUAUGUACCUGAUUACUUCCUAACCAGGCAAGUUCAUGUUCAGAAAUUAGAGUUACUUCCCUUUGACUAUACUUGUUCUCAAAGUUGAGUCAAGGGGCUCAUCACAGUCCCUAACAACUGUUUUUUGUAACUUUCUCUUCAUAUGAAUGAACAAUUAUUGUAAUGUUGCUAUAAUUUAGAGAGUUUAUUAAUUAUAAAAUUAAUUAAGCUAAUUAAAUUUACAGGAUCUUAGGGAUACCCCUUAUUUCAGCCAAUUUGGCCAUAUGUGGGCCUAUUCUGAGAAUUAGAAAAAAUAUUUUCUACUCAAAGAGGUUUUGUUUCAUAAUUUAAGAAAGUUAGAAGAAUUGUAAUCGUAACCCUGAGGAUUCAGCCUGAUUUAAAGUCUCAUGGUUUCCUUCCUUUUUCAGGGGUCUUGGCUGAAGCAGUCGGUGGCACCCAGGCCUGAGCAUCAUUUCCUGCUCCUCGCACAGAGAGGGUGGAUGCGUCACCAGUUGUAGGGUUUCCCUAUCAACUCUCGUGAAUGGUGCAGGAAAAACACCAGAAUUGCCUAGCUACAGGGCGCCGCCAUUGUGGACACCCAAAGUUGUGCGGAGAAGAAAAGUUGACAGGAGAUCUGAUUGGUCAUUAACAGAAAAUCUUUGUGAUGGAAUUUAAUAGUGAAAUAUAAGUGAUAAAAAUGACAGGUGACAUAACAGAAUAUGUAGAAAGAUACAGAAGUUAUAAGGGAAGAUCUGAGUGGAGAGGUGAUAUUUGGAUGGACAAUUUCAUUCAGUGCGGAUCUACACUAGUUGUAAACAGGCCAAAAUUUGAAGGAAAAACGCAACGGCAAGCCAUAUAUUUUUUGGUGGAAUUUUGAAGGGGAGAUGAUGAACUUUGCUGAAUGGUGACUGCUUUUUUGAAAAUUGGCUUAAUAAAUAAUUGACAGUGAUUGGAAUUUGUAUGGAAGUCUAUGGGAAAACAUUUGGUGGUGUUUGUCCGUCCUAUAAUAUCCUGCACAGCAACAUUCAACAGCUGUACAAUGCUGACAUGGUCUGUUGAACACAACUUGUUUGAUAAGUGAAAGUUUGUAACUCGAUUCCACUCACGAUGCAAAACCGUCCGAACAAUACUUGUAGCAGAUUUUUAUCCGUUUCGCCAGCCAUCUGCAUCUGCAUGAAUCAUGUGCACACUUUCCAAUGUUCUGUGUACACGUGCGUCUAUGUGUAACAUAAUGCUAAUGACUGCUUUUGUCCCUGAACUUUUGUAAUACCGUGAUGUUUCUAUAUGUUGUGUGUACCAUGUCUACGCUUCUCUUAAAUGCCUUAACUUUAUACAACAUAACUUACAUGCAAUUAAUUAAUUGCAUGUUAUUAGGUUUUCUGGUUUUAAAUCGAUUGUAUAUCUUAUCAAUUAUUGAUUUUGUAUGCUUAGUAUGUAAAUAUGUUAUAGUAAGUUUCAAAGAUCUAUUAUUAGCUCAUGUUUUUCAUUCAUGUAAAUAUACCAACUCUAAAUAAAAUGUUCUGUACUUGACUUGUCAAUAAAUGUUAACAGUAUUAAUAAUAUAGUAAUUGUUUGAUCUCACCACGUAACGCUAUCUAGAUCACGUGUCGUUUACACAUCAGAUUGUGUAGUGGUGCGGCAUACUCAUCACUCGGGGUCUAUUUGUACUCCAGUAUGUAAUGCAAGUCACGCAGUUGUAUAUCAUUUUGUGUAUACAUGUAUGAUUAUUAAGCAUGUGAUUAAUUGUUUAUUAGGCAUAUGAUUAAUUGUUUAUGUGGCAUGUGAUGUAAUUGUGCGCACGUGAUUUUGUAUAUACAUGUACACUGUACAUAAUUAGUGGGAAGUGACAAGCACCCUUCCGCCACUUCUGAUUGUACACACGUCUCAUAGGUAUCUCCCAAUACGAAGGUUGUCCCAAAAUUCCGUGAAAUGGACUUUUAAAGUAUUGAUUUAAUUUCAUAAAAACUGUUAUAUAUUAGCAAGUAUACCAUUGUUGACCAAUACCCAAAAUUUCAUCUUUCUACUUUAUUUAGCUUUUUUGGAAAACUAUUUAUUUUACGAUUAGGCUCCUCAUGUUGUAAAAGUUUAAUUUCUUAGUGACGUUAGAUAAUUGAAAAACGCCGCUUGUUCAUGGAAUUUUGGGACAACCCUCGUACAUAGCUUGGAAACAAGUUAUUCAUUAUCAAUUCUUUAUUGCUCUUGAGUUAUACAACUCAUCGGCAUACAUCUAGUACCUGUACAUACAAAAUAUAUAUAAUUUUAUAAGGUAAUGUCCAACGGGUGAGUGGACAGGAGAAGAUAGGAGGAAAAUUACAAAUUUAAUAAUUAUAAUCACAUUAUGAGAUGCACAUGUUAUUAGAAAAAUACUAUAAAUGUAAUUACAAUGAC
Molecule: long non-coding RNA, 6479 nt
Organism: Ostrea edulis (European flat oyster)
Lineage: Eukaryota; Metazoa; Mollusca; Bivalvia; Ostreida; Ostreidae
Exons: 2
Source: RefSeq, a predicted model, not a curated record